Molecule: non-coding RNA, 30 nt
Filed under: Rattus norvegicus (Norway rat)
Lineage: Eukaryota; Metazoa; Chordata; Mammalia; Rodentia; Muridae
Source: RNAcentral
UACCGUACUUAUCCUAGACUGGGAUCUUCC